Molecule: ribosomal RNA, 424 nt
Filed under: uncultured bacterium
Lineage: Bacteria
Description: bacterial SSU rRNA
Rfam family: Bacterial small subunit ribosomal RNA
Source: RNAcentral
GGGCCCGCACAAGCGGUGGAGCAUGUGGUUUAAUUCGAUGAUACGCGAGGAACCUUACCAGGGCUUAAAUGUAAGUUGCAUAAACUAGAGAUAGUUUUUUCUUCGGACUACUUACAAGGUGCUGCAUGGUUGUCGUCAGCUCGUGCCGUGAGGUGUCAGGUUAAGUCCUAUAACGAGCGCAACCCCUAUCGUUAGUUGCCAACAGGUUAAGCUGGGAACUCUAACGAGACUGCCGGUGCAAACCGCGAGGAAGGUGGGGAUGACGUCAAAUCAUCACGGCCCUUACGUCCUGGGCUACACACGUGCUACAAUGGCCGGUACAGAGAGCAGCCACUCCGCGAGGAGGAGCGAAUCUAUAAAACCGGUCUCAGUUCGGAUCGCAGUCUGCAACUCGACUGCGUGAAGCUGGAAUCGCUAGUAAUCG